This 519-nucleotide ribosomal RNA is filed under the name uncultured bacterium. RNAcentral's name for it is "bacterial SSU rRNA". It matches the Rfam family "Bacterial small subunit ribosomal RNA", at positions 15 to 518 of the family's 1533-position model. The record is from RNAcentral.
GAUCCUGGCUCAGAUUGAACGCUGGCGGCGUGCUUAACACAUGCAAGUCGCGCGUGAAAGGACUUCGGUCCGAGUAAAGCGGCGCACGGGUGAGUAACGCGUGGAUGAUCUACCCAUGAGUUGGGAAUAACGGCUGGAAACGGUCGCUAAUACCGAAUACGCUCCGAUUUCAACUUCGGGGGAAAGGUGGCCUCUGCUUGCAAGCUACUGCUCAUGGAUGAGUCCGCGUCCCAUUAGCUAGUUGGUGGGGUAACGGCCCACCAAGGCGACGAUGGGUAGCCGGUCUGAGAGGAUGACCGGCCACACUGGGACUGGAACACGGCCCAGACUCCUACGGGAGGCAGCAGUGGGGAAUAUUGCGCAAUGGGCGAAAGCCUGACGCAGCGACGCCGCGUGAAGGGAUGAAGGUCCUCGGAUCGUAAACCUCUGUCAGGAGGGAAGAACCGCCACGGUGCUAAUCAGCCGUGGUCUGACGGUACCUCCAAAGGAAGCACCGGCUAACUCCGUGCCAGCAGCCGC